RNAcentral lists this ribosomal RNA (112 nucleotides) under Arthrobacter saudimassiliensis. Lineage: Bacteria; Bacillati; Actinomycetota; Actinomycetes; Micrococcales; Micrococcaceae. The record is from RNAcentral.
GGAUGAAAUAAGCUGAAGAAACACCACGGCGGUGCGAACCCGGAAGCUAAGACCCACAGCGCCGAUGGUACUGCACCCGGGAGGGUGUGGGAGAGUAGGUCACCGCCGGACA